AGUGAACGCUGGCGGUAGGCCUAACACAUGCAAGUCGAACGGCAGCACAGUAAGAGCUUGCUCUUACGGGUGGCGAGUGGCGGACGGGUGAGGAAUACAUCGGAAUCUACUUUUUCGUGGGGGAUAACGUAGGGAAACUUACGCUAAUACCGCAUACGACCUACGGGUGAAAGCAGGGGAUCUUCGGACCUUGCGCGAUUGAAUGAGCCGAUGUCGGAUUAGCUAGUUGGCGGGGUAAAGGCCCACCAAGGCGACGAUCCGUAGCUGGUCUGAGAGGAUGAUCAGCCACACUGGAACUGAGACACGGCCCAGACUCCUACGGGAGGCAGCAGUGGGGAAUAUUGGACAAUGGGCGCAAGCCUGAUCCAGCCAUACCGCGUGGGUGAAGAAGGCGUUCGGGUUGUAAAGCCCUUUUGUUGGGAAAGAAAAGCAGCAGGUUAAUACCCCGCUGUUCUGACGGUACCCAAAGAAUAAGCACCGGCUAACUUCGUG
RNAcentral lists this ribosomal RNA (492 nucleotides) under uncultured bacterium. Its description in RNAcentral is "partial 16S ribosomal RNA". It matches the Rfam family "Bacterial small subunit ribosomal RNA", at positions 29 to 507 of the family's 1533-position model. The record is from RNAcentral.